Molecule: ribosomal RNA, 918 nt
Filed under: Acinetobacter sp. LPPA 976
Lineage: Bacteria; Pseudomonadati; Pseudomonadota; Gammaproteobacteria; Moraxellales; Moraxellaceae
Description: bacterial SSU rRNA
Rfam family: Bacterial small subunit ribosomal RNA
Source: RNAcentral
ACAUGCAAGUCGAGCGGAGUGAUGGUGCUUGCACUAUCACUUAGCGGCGGACGGGUGAGUAAUGCUUAGGAAUCUGCCUAUUAGUGGGGGACAACAUUUCGAAAGGAAUGCUAAUACCGCAUACGUCCUACGGGAGAAAGCAGGGGAUCUUCGGACCUUGCGCUAAUAGAUGAGCCUAAGUCGGAUUAGCUAGUUGGUGGGGUAAAGGCCUACCAAGGCGACGAUCUGUAGCGGGUCUGAGAGGAUGAUCCGCCACACUGGGACUGAGACACGGCCCAGACUCCUACGGGAGGCAGCAGUGGGGAAUAUUGGACAAUGGGCGCAAGCCUGAUCCAGCCAUGCCGCGUGUGUGAAGAAGGCCUUAUGGUUGUAAAGCACUUUAAGCGAGGAGGAGGCUACUGAAGUUAAUACCUUCAGAUAGUGGACGUUACUCGCAGAAUAAGCACCGGCUAACUCUGUGCCAGCAGCCGCGGUAAUACAGAGGGUGCAAGCGUUAAUCGGAUUUACUGGGCGUAAAGCGCGCGUAGGCGGCUAAUUAAGUCAAAUGUGAAAUCCCCGAGCUUAACUUGGGAAUUGCAUUCGAUACUGGUUAGCUAGAGUGUGGGAGAGGAUGGUAGAAUUCCAGGUGUAGCGGUGAAAUGCGUAGAGAUCUGGAGGAAUACCGAUGGCGAAGGCAGCCAUCUGGCCUAACACUGACGCUGAGGUGCGAAAGCAUGGGGAGCAAACAGGAUUAGAUACCCUGGUAGUCCAUGCCGUAAACGAUGUCUACUAGCCGUUGGGGCCUUUGAGGCUUUAGUGGCGCAGCUAACGCGAUAAGUAGACCGCCUGGGGAGUACGGUCGCAAGACUAAAACUCAAAUGAAUUGACGGGGGCCCGCACAAGCGGUGGAGCAUGUGGUUUAAUUCGAUGCAACGCGAA